This 301-nucleotide ribosomal RNA is filed under the name uncultured bacterium. Its description in RNAcentral is "partial 16S ribosomal RNA". It matches the Rfam family "Bacterial small subunit ribosomal RNA", at positions 509 to 807 of the family's 1533-position model. The record is from RNAcentral.
CAGUCGCCACGGUAAUACGGAGGGUGCAAGCGUUAAUCGGAAUUACUGGGCGUAAAGUGCACGCAGGCGGUCUGACAAGUCAGAUGUGAAAUCCCCGGGCUUAACCUGGGAACUGCAUUUGAAACUGUCAGGCUGGAGUCUUGUAGAGGGGGGUAGAAUUCCAGGUGUAGCGGUGAAAUGCGUAGAGAUCUGGAGGAAUACCGGUGGCGAAGGCGGCCCCCUGGACAAAGACUGACGCUCAGGUGCGAAAGCGUGGGGAGCAAACAGGAUUAGAUACCCGGGUAGUCCCUGUCUCUUAUAC